RNAcentral lists this ribosomal RNA (439 nucleotides) under uncultured prokaryote. RNAcentral describes it as "bacterial SSU rRNA". It matches the Rfam family "Bacterial small subunit ribosomal RNA", at positions 338 to 774 of the family's 1533-position model. The record is from RNAcentral.
CCUACGGGGAGCAGCAGUGAGGAAUAUUGGUCAAUGGGCGAGAGCCUGAACCAGCCAAGUAGCGUGAGGGAUGACUGCCCUAUGGGUUGUAAACCUCUUUUAUAAGGGAAUAAAACGCUCCACGUGUGGAGCUUUGCAUGUACCUUUUGAAUAAGGAUCGGCUAACUCCGUGCCAGCAGCCGCGGUAAUACGGAGGAUCCGAGCGUUAUCCGGAUUUAUUGGGUUUAACGGGUGCGUAGGCGGACUGAUAAGUCAGCUGUGAAAGUUUGCGGCUCAACCGUAAAAUUGCAGUUGAAACUGUUAGUCUUGAGUGUACAUAAGGUAUGCGGAAUUCGUGGUGGAGCGGUGAAAUGCUUAGAUAUCACGAAGAACUCCAAUUGCGAAGGCAGCUUACCGGGGUACAACUGACGCUGAGGCACGAAAGCGUGGGUAUCAAACA